Salvia splendens (bonfire salvia) is the source of this 276-nucleotide long non-coding RNA. RefSeq lists it as uncharacterized. The transcript has 4 exons. Lineage: Eukaryota; Viridiplantae; Streptophyta; Magnoliopsida; Lamiales; Lamiaceae. The record is from RefSeq and is a predicted model, not a curated record.
CCUCAACACAUGAGUUGCUGUCAUAUAAAGGUUCACCUGGCGAAUGGCAUUCAGAUUUACUGGGCUGCUGUUCAGAACCUCUUCUUUGCAUGAAAACCUUAUUUUUUCCUUGUGGCACACUGUCGAGAAUUGCUUCAGUGGCAGCUAAUAGACACAUAUCUGCUGCAGAGACAUGCAACGACCUGUUGGCGUAUUCUUUAAUAUUGUCAUGCUGCUGCUACACUUGUUGCAUCAGAAGGAAACUCCGCAAAAUACUCAACAUCAAGGGAGGCUUAG